UGCCUACGGGAGGCAGCAGUAGGGAAUUUUCGUCAAUGGGCGCAAGCCUGAACGAGCCAAGUCGCGUGAGGGAAUAAGGCCCUACGGGUCGUAAACCUCUUUUGCCGGGGAGCAAGGGCGGGGACGUGUCCCGGCCCGGAGAGUACCCGGAGAAAAAGCAUCGGCUAACUCCGUGCCAGCAGCCGCGGUAAUACGGAGGAUGCGAGCGUUAUCCGGAUUUAUUGGGUUUAAAGGGUGCGUAGGCGGAAUGCCAAGUCAGCGGUAAAAUCGCGGGGCUCAACCUCGCUCCGCAGUUGAAACUGGCG
This 305-nucleotide ribosomal RNA is filed under the name uncultured bacterium. Its description in RNAcentral is "bacterial SSU rRNA". It matches the Rfam family "Bacterial small subunit ribosomal RNA", at positions 335 to 638 of the family's 1533-position model. The record is from RNAcentral.